GUUGGAAAUGGUAAAAAGAUUAGGUUCUGGGAGGACCAGUGGUUUGGCCAGACUAGCCUGUCCAUAAUUUUCUGGGAUAUAUACUUUGUGUGUAAUGAAAAGGGAGCAACAAUUAGCUAGGUGUGGGAUGGUAAUAAGAGGGUGCUUGGAUACGUUUUAGUCCCAUGA
RNAcentral lists this ribosomal RNA (168 nucleotides) under Triticum aestivum (bread wheat). Its description in RNAcentral is "partial small subunit ribosomal RNA". Lineage: Eukaryota; Viridiplantae; Streptophyta; Magnoliopsida; Poales; Poaceae. The record is from RNAcentral.